This 325-nucleotide small nuclear RNA is filed under the name Heterocephalus glaber (naked mole-rat). RNAcentral's name for it is "7SK RNA". It matches the Rfam family "7SK RNA". Rfam says of the family: 7SK was discovered as an abundant small nuclear RNA in the mid-70s but a possible function has only recently been suggested. Two independent studies have found that 7SK RNA binds the CDK9/cyclin T complex (known as elongation factor P-TEFb). P-TEFb activates transcription by phosphorylating the C-terminal domain of RNA polymerase II. The record is from Rfam by way of RNAcentral. Lineage: Eukaryota; Metazoa; Chordata; Mammalia; Rodentia; Bathyergidae.
GAAUGUGAAAGCGAUCUUGCUGCAACAUAUGACACCCCAUUGAUCUCCAGGAUUGGUCUGGCUGAUCUGGUGGGCUAAUUUGGUGUCCCUUCCUCCCUCAUCGCUUCAUGUGCAUCCCUCUAAGCUGCAUGCUUGGUCGCAGAGGUCAACUUUCCCCAAUAGAGGAGGACUGUUCUUCCAUCCAAGUUAUAGAAGUAGUUCUGUUUCCCUGCUAGAACCUGCAAAGAAGCUGUCAAGGUCCACUGAUAUUCUUUAAAGCCUGAAAAUUAAGGUUUCAAUGAAAGAAAUGACUAAUAAACAGAUAAUUACAAUUGGUUGUCAUUAU